GAUCAUGGCUCAGGAUGAACGCUAGCGACAGGCUUAACACAUGCAAGUCGAGGGGCAGCAUGAUUUGUAGCAAUACAGAUUGAUGGCGACCGGCGCACGGGUGAGUAACGCGUAUGCAACUUACCUAUCAGAGGGGGAUAGCCCGGCGAAAGUCGGAUUAAUACCCCAUAAAACGAGGGGUCCCGCAUGGGAAUAUUUGUUAAAGAUUCAUCGCUGAUAGAUAGGCAUGUCCG
RNAcentral lists this ribosomal RNA (233 nucleotides) under uncultured bacterium. RNAcentral describes it as "partial 16S ribosomal RNA". It matches the Rfam family "Bacterial small subunit ribosomal RNA", at positions 15 to 237 of the family's 1533-position model. The record is from RNAcentral.